Molecule: ribosomal RNA, 504 nt
Filed under: uncultured bacterium
Lineage: Bacteria
Description: partial 16S ribosomal RNA
Rfam family: Bacterial small subunit ribosomal RNA
Source: RNAcentral
AUUGAACGCUGGCGGCAGGCCUAACACAUGCAAGUCGAACGGUAGCACAGAGAGCUUGCUCUCGGGUGACGAGUGGCGGACGGGUGAGUAAUGUCUGAGAAACUGCCCGAUGGAGGGGGAUAACUACUGGAAACGGUAGCUAAUACCGCAUAACGUCGCGAGACCAAAGUGGGGGACCUUCGGGCCUCCCACCAUCGGAUGUGCCCAGAUAGGAUUAGCUAGUAGGUGGGGUAAUGGCUCACCUAGGCGACGAUCCCUAGCUGGUCUGAGAGGAUGACCAGCCACACUGGAACUGAGACACGGUCCAGACUCCUACGGGAGGCAGCAGUGGGGAAUAUUGCACAAUGGGCGCAAGCCUGAUGCAGCCAUGCCGCGUGUAUGAAGAAGGCCUUCGGGUUGUAAAGUACUUUCAGCGGGGAGGAAGGCGGUGAAGUUAAUAGCUUCACCGAUUGACGUUACCCGCAGAAGAAGCACCGGCUAACUCCGUGCCAGCCGCCGCGGUAA